This 467-nucleotide ribosomal RNA is filed under the name uncultured bacterium. RNAcentral's name for it is "partial 16S ribosomal RNA". It matches the Rfam family "Bacterial small subunit ribosomal RNA", at positions 28 to 506 of the family's 1533-position model. The record is from RNAcentral.
GACGAACGCUGGCGGCGUGCUUAACACAUGCAAGUCGAACGGAAAGGCCCUGCUUUUGUGGGGUGCUCGAGUGGCGAACGGGUGAGUAACACGUGAGUAACCUGCCCUUGACUUUGGGAUAACUUCAGGAAACUGGGGCUAAUACCGGAUAGGAGCUCCUGCUGCAUGGUGGGGGUUGGAAAGUUUCGGCGGUUGGGGAUGGACUCGCGGCUUAUCAGCUUGUUGGUGGGGUAGUGGCUUACCAAGGCUUUGACGGGUAGCCGGCCUGAGAGGGUGACCGGCCACAUUGGGACGGAGGUACGGCCCAGACCCCGAGGGGGGGCAGGGGGGGGGAAUAUUGCAAAAGGGGCGGAAGCCUGAGGCAGCAACCCCGGGGGGGGGAUGGCGGCCUUCGGGUUGUAACCCGCUUUCGCCUGGGACGAAGCGGGGGUGACGGUAAUGGGAAAAGAAGCACCGGCUAACUACGU